Molecule: ribosomal RNA, 471 nt
Filed under: uncultured bacterium
Lineage: Bacteria
Description: bacterial SSU rRNA
Rfam family: Bacterial small subunit ribosomal RNA
Source: RNAcentral
UGUCCAGACUCCUACGGGAGGCAGCAGUGAGGAAUAUUGGUCAAUGGACGCAAGUCUGAACCAGCCAAGUAGCGUGCAGGAUGACGGCCCUCCGGGUUGUAAACUGCUUUUAGUUGGGAAUAAAAGGGGGCUCGUGAGCCCCGUAUUGUAUGUACCAUCAGAAAAAGGACCGGCUAAUUCCGUGCCAGCAGCCGCGGUAAUACGGAAGGUCCGGGCGUUAUCCGGAUUUAUUGGGUUUAAAGGGUGCGCAGGCGGAGGUGCAAGUCAGCGGUCAAAUUGCGGGGCUCAACCCCGUACUGCCGUUGAAACUGCAUCCCUUGAGUGCGCGAGAAGUAUGCGGAAUGCGUGGUGUAGCGGUGAAAUGCAUAGAUAUCACGCAGAACUCCGAUUGCGAAGGCAGCAUACCGGCGCGCAACUGACGCUCAUGCACGAAAGCGUGGGUAUCGAACAGGAUUAGAUACCCCCGUACAC